GACGAACGCUGGCGGCGUGCAUAACACAUGCAAGUCGAACGAAGCAUUUAAAGUGGAGACUUCGGUCAAAGCUUUUUAUGACUUAGUGGCGGACGGGUGAGUAACACGUGAGUAACCUGCCUCUCAGUGGGGAAUAACACACCGAAAGGUGUGCUAAUACCGCAUAAUGUAGUUUUACCGCAUGGCAGAACUACCAAAGAAAUUUAUCGCUGAGAGAUGGGCUCGCGUCCAAUUAGCUAGAUGGUGAGGUAACGGCUCACCAUGGCGACGAUUGGUAGCCGGACUGAGAGGUUGAACGGCCACAUUGGGACUGAGAUACGGCCCAGACUCCUACGGGAGGCAGCAGUGGGGAAUAUUGGGCAAUGGGGGGAAAUCCUGACCCAGCAACGCCGCGUGAAGGAAGAAGGCCUC
Molecule: ribosomal RNA, 411 nt
Filed under: uncultured bacterium
Lineage: Bacteria
Description: bacterial SSU rRNA
Rfam family: Bacterial small subunit ribosomal RNA
Source: RNAcentral